This 961-nucleotide long non-coding RNA is filed under the name Citrus maxima (pomelo). Its description in RNAcentral is "long non-coding RNA (CMAX_LNC000413)". The record is from RNAcentral. Lineage: Eukaryota; Viridiplantae; Streptophyta; Magnoliopsida; Sapindales; Rutaceae.
GGUGGUAACUUCUUGUCAAAAGAACAGCAAAACAUUGAAAGUCCGAUGAAAACUGGAAGCAGGAGUACUGAAGCAGGGAAGGCUUGGUCAAAAGAAAAACAGAAGAUUGAACCUCCAAGGAAAACAGUUAGCACGGAAACAGAUCAGCAAUCAUCAAAGCAGCAACUAAAGGGUUACUCUCCGGUGAGAACUGAAAACAGUAGUACUCAACCAGUUCAGCUAAUAUCAAAAGAACAACAAAAGAUUGAGCUUCCGAACAAAAUUGUUAGCACCCCAGAAGAGUGUCGUUUGUUGUCGAAUGAGAAGCAAAAGGGUCUUAUCAAGCUGGAAACCAGCUAUGGGAGCCCAAUUGAGAAGAAAUCGGACUCCCCAAUGAAAACCAGCAAUGCUCCUAAACAAGAUCAAUAUACAGAUAACAGCAGUCUUGGACAAGGAAGGAAAUUAUUGCUUAAAGGACAACAAAAGGAUGUUGUAAAGCUAGAGGGCAUCAACAAAGAUAACAUACAAACAUCGCCAAACCAUACAGAUAUGAAUAAAAGCGGCACUGUACAUGCAUCAAGUGAGCAGCAAAAGGGACUUCUAAGGCAAGAUGAUAUCUGUGAAGCUCGUAGAGACACAAGGCAAUCCAACAAAAACAACUGGUAGCUUGGAACAAGCAGAGGUGCCCUUUGUCAAAUGAUAAAAAAAAAAAAAAAAUUGUUAUUCACAAGACAUCCAACACGAAAGAUAAGUUUGUUUUUUCAUUUAAUUUUAUACUCCUUUUAUAUAAAUUGAAGAUUUUUUUAAUGUGAAAUUUUAAGUUCUCUAAAAUACUUUGUUCUUCAAAUACUAUUUACCUGGAAUACUUAUUAUUUCUUCGCUGGUCAGUUUCUGCAAUUUUCUCUUUUACAACUUAAACAAAUUAUCAGAAUACUUCAUACGCAUUAUUGACACCCCAUAUUAUCUCUAAAAGAGUACUGCA